CGGGACGUAGUUCAGAUGGCUAGAACGUGCGCUUUGGGAGCGCAAGGUCGCGAGUUCAAGUCUCGCCGUCCCGACCC
RNAcentral lists this transfer RNA (77 nucleotides) under Candidatus Roizmanbacteria bacterium CG_4_10_14_3_um_filter_39_13. RNAcentral describes it as "tRNA-Pro". It matches the Rfam family "tRNA". Rfam says of the family: Transfer RNA (tRNA) molecules are approximately 80 nucleotides in length. The record is from RNAcentral. Lineage: Bacteria; Candidatus Roizmaniibacteriota.